GGGGCGAAGUGGUUCCUCCCGCCCAGCCCACUAGCAGUGCAUUCAAUUUGACCAAUCAGAAUGAAGGUUUUCAAAUCGACGACCCAAUCACACAGCGUGAAAGUCCACUUCACGAAGGUUAACGUGUUUGCAGUCGUUUAAAAGGAAUCUAUUUUUGGCCAGAAAUAAUUUUGUUUCUCAGGUUUCCUUUGUUUUACUUUACCGACUCGGGCUUUGCGAAGGUGGACACCACAGACAUAAUAAGAAAAGAACACAGAAGAGAAGAAUAUCCGGUCAAUUCCCUGUAGAAGUUAAAUGUGAAAAGAGCUAAAGAGGCGUGACUGGCAAGUACAAGCAGGAGAGGACAGACGCAGAGACUGCCAGAAUCGUCUUUCUUGGCAAGUUUAUUAUUGUUCGCAAGACAACACAGUUGUAGCUUCCUGGGAUUGUUGCCUCACUGAGAGGGCUUAGAGGUCAUGAAAACCUCAAAGGACCAGCUGGACCCUCACAAGCUCAAUGUGCUUAGAUGCUGUGUGAUAAAGCAGUUUCCAAAUCCCAUAGUGUCUGCAGUCGCAGAAAAUGCAACAAGUCCUACUCAAAGUCAGUACCUUCCACUCCAAGGAUAAGGAUUGUGACAUUUUUCUGUUUCAGCUUGGUUCCACCAUUUGUACUGUAUGCUUGUGACGGAGAACCUUCACUACAGUUGAAUAAGCGCUUGGACUGCCAUACCAACAAGCCUGGCUCUUUGGCGUUGCUGUCAAAGUUGCUUGUUUGGUACCCUGUUGACCUGUGUUCAAAUCUGGGCAGGGUGACUGCUCUCGCCAUUGGCUGCAUAUGGUGUCAGGAGUGGGACGGCUUGCCGUGAGGUCAUCGGAGUCGGGCCCAGAGUCCGAGGCGUAUGAGGGACCCCAUGGAGUUUCCUGGGAUUGUUGCCUCACUGAGAGGGCUUAGAGGUCACGAAAACCUCAAAGGACCAGCUGGACCCUCACAAGCUCAAUGUGCUUAGGUAUGUCUGGCUCCCGCACACGAUCACUGUUUUUGCUCUCACUACAUCUCAACGGGGUCAGACUAAAUAAACAAAUAUUCUUGUGAAAAAAUAAUUUUAUUUAAAAUAUUGUUAUACAUUAAGUAAUUGGCUACUUUUGUACUUCACAAAUUGACUGCUGUGUUAAUGUGAAAUAUAUCCCCUUUCUCACCUUUCUGCAAAGCUGCAAGAUAUAACUCACUUAAUUGAUGGCCAAGAUCAAAUCAGUCUUAUUAGCUGUAGAUCUUAAUUGGUACAAGUAAAUUAAGUGGUUGGAAACCUGUAUAAUUGUAUGAGUGCUUUUUGAUGGUGACUUACAGUAUGUUUUACCUGAAUGGCUCUAACAUUUUGUAAUCUGAGACAUGAGUAAAUUAUAUUCCGUAAUAAGUACAAAAAAUGCAACAUGGAGAGCUUCCCACAUUUUUUGGAUAUAAAUUCUCACAUCCUGACUUUGGAGAGUGUGUGAGUUGUGUUUCAGGACAGAUGGUACACUUGAACUGAGUCCUUUUGCUUUCAGGAAGUAAAUCUAAGUGAACCUGACAGGUAGUGUUGGGGAAGACAGUGAAUGCCAAGUCUCGGCUUGUUCCUACACACUCUUUGCCUUGGCAGGAAUCCUUUCGGAUAAACGAGCUUCAGUGGUCCUUAACAGGACCCGGUGUACUGUGUCAUGUCGAAGUUCAUAUUAGGUAAAGCAUGACUGCCUGCUGUAUGUUAACCGAUAGUUAGGGAGGAGGCUGUUUAACCAAGCCUUAGGAACAAAGCUAUUUCUGGUAGCAUACCAUUAUAGUACAAGUGUAAUACAAUAAUAUUAGUAUAUGUAUAGAACAAUCUAUUGCCAAUAUUUACACUGAUCUUUCACAAAUAAACUGGUAUUCAUAGAGAGCCAACUCUUGAUGUCAUAUAGCCACAUAUUGCAAACUAACUGGUUCAAUUCACAGUAAAAAAAAAAAAA
Micropterus salmoides (largemouth bass) is the source of this 1955-nucleotide long non-coding RNA. RefSeq lists it as uncharacterized. The record is from RefSeq and is a predicted model, not a curated record. The transcript is spliced from 4 exons. Lineage: Eukaryota; Metazoa; Chordata; Actinopteri; Centrarchiformes; Centrarchidae.